Long non-coding RNA from Cydia splendana, 586 nucleotides. RefSeq lists it as uncharacterized. The transcript is spliced from 4 exons. Lineage: Eukaryota; Metazoa; Arthropoda; Insecta; Lepidoptera; Tortricidae. The record is from RefSeq and is a predicted model, not a curated record.
AGGUAAACGCUAAUAUUAUGUUUGUUCAAAGACAAUGUUUCGAUCGACACUACACGUUGUUAUUUUUACUUGCGUAUUUUCACUAUGCCAUAGUUUCCCGGGUAAAAUACUGGGCCCAGAAACCUUUAUUUUCCAGUCAUUCGAACACUGUGACCCACCAGUAACAGAAGUCGAUUUGUGGUUAACGCAAAGAUAAUUUAACCGGGCCACUAAUGUGCUAGAUAUGACAUUAUCCACACCAUGGCCACUUCUUAGUGACGAUAUCAUAAUGGAGAUACAAACUGCCACUAAGAGAGACGGCGGAUACAAACCGGGCUCGUUCUAUCUGAAAGGUCCGUUUUGCCACACGCUGAAAACGCUGGUAGGAGACGUAUUCUAUACCAUCAUUGAGGCCGCUGGGGUGGAUGAUUGCCCUUUACCAGGCACUAUUGAAACAAAAGGUUUCCUCCGUAGUGACAAAUUAAAUGAUCAAAUUUUGUAUGGUGAGUACAGAGCUGAAGUUAAAUUCUACGUUGAAGAAAAAGUAAAAGGAUGCUAUAUGAUGUAAUAUGAAUUUAGUGCCUAAAGAAGAUUAAAUUUAAAAUUG